This 253-nucleotide ribosomal RNA is filed under the name uncultured bacterium. RNAcentral describes it as "partial 16S ribosomal RNA". It matches the Rfam family "Bacterial small subunit ribosomal RNA", at positions 524 to 776 of the family's 1533-position model. The record is from RNAcentral.
UACGAGGGGGGCAAGCGUUGUUCGGAAUUAUUGGGCGUAAAGGGUGCGUAGGCGGUCUGAUAAGUCAUCUGUGAAAUCUAUGGGCUCAACCCAUAGUCUGCAGGCGAAACUGUCGGGCUUGAGUAUGGGAGAGGUGAGUGGAAUUUCCGGUGUAGCGGUGAAAUGCGUAGAUAUCGUCUGGAACGCCGAAGGUGAAAACAGCUCGCUGGGGCUGCGCUGACGCUGAGACACGAAAGCCAGGGGAGCGAACGGG